GACGAACGCUGGCGGCGUGCUUAACACAUGCAAGUCGAACGCUGAAGCUUGGUGCUUGCACUGGGUGGAUGAGUGGCGAACGGGUGAGUAAUACGUGAGUAACCUGCCCUUGACUCUGGGAUAAGCCUGGGAAACUGGGUCUAAUACUGGAUAUGACAUGCCACUGCAUGGUGGUGUGUGGAAAGGGUUUUACUGGUUUUGGAUGGGCUCACGGCCUAUCAGCUUGUUGGUGGGGUAAUGGCCUACCAAGGCGACGACGGGUAGCCGGCCUGAGAGGGUGACCGGUCACACUGGGACUGAGACACGGCCCAGACUCCUACGGGAGGCAGCAGUGGGGAACAUUGCACAAUGGGCGGAAGCCUGAUGCAGCGACGCCGCGUGAGGGAUGACGGCCUUCGGGUUGUAAACCUCUUUCAGCACGGAAGAAGCGAGAGUGACGGUACGUGCAGAAGAAGCGCCGGCUAACUACGUG
Molecule: ribosomal RNA, 472 nt
Filed under: uncultured bacterium
Lineage: Bacteria
Description: partial 16S ribosomal RNA
Rfam family: Bacterial small subunit ribosomal RNA
Source: RNAcentral